GCUCCAGCCUCAUGAUGAACCCACUGCCCUGAGCUGUUGUGAUGCUGGCUUCAAAGUAAACGCUCUGAAGCAAUGGAGCAGGUU
Small nucleolar RNA from Cricetulus griseus (Chinese hamster), 84 nucleotides. Ensembl annotates it as small nucleolar RNA SNORD105. The record is from Ensembl. Lineage: Eukaryota; Metazoa; Chordata; Mammalia; Rodentia; Cricetidae.